GUCGGGCAGCCCUGCGUCUUUACCCUUGGCUGUGCUCACAGCUGACACUUGCCGAAGUUUCGCGAAGGGCUGCAGAUGAGUUUUGCUGGCCGCAGAGCGUUUCAGGGUUGCGCAGUGCAGGAAAAACCAAGUGACAUCAGACAGAUUUUUCAUCAAAAUGGACCCUGCAGCUAAGAGACAGAGCAGAAACCCCUGAAGGAGGACUCCCCGUGUCCUUAUGGAGGGGACUCUCCCUCCAGAGAGUAACCUCCUCCCCGCCCACCUUCCUGUCCUCCACGCCAGCGGUCACCUCUAGCAAGGUUCCCCUAAGUCUGUGGCGGUCCAGCCGUCACAACACGAACAUGCCUGAGUCGGGGAGUGAGGAUUGAGAAAGGAAAGAACACUCAAGCCUGAGUGGAGACGAAGAGAAGUCUGAUUUAUUUCACAGAAAGAGCUCCUUUUAUAGGUUCACAGCAACAGGAAGCUUUUAAGGGCACACAACAACCAAAAACACCAAGUCAUUGUUUUUCAAAGACCGGAUUUCCUGACUCUUACUGAUAACAUCAGAUCUUUGGCUAACGAGCUUCCUGUUAUGUCAGGGUCAAAGAGUCAAAACCAGCUUAACAGACAGUUUCCUUGAAGAGUAGCAAAUGUUGAUGCCUUAAUUAUACAAGAAGAAGUUAUUUUCCAAAUGUCAAACUCCAGUGGGCCAUGACUGGGCCCCGACAU
RNAcentral lists this long non-coding RNA (708 nucleotides) under Fukomys damarensis (Damara mole-rat). RNAcentral describes it as "lncRNA (ENSFDAG00000028238.1)". Lineage: Eukaryota; Metazoa; Chordata; Mammalia; Rodentia; Bathyergidae. The record is from RNAcentral.